Musca domestica (house fly) is the source of this 2159-nucleotide long non-coding RNA. RefSeq lists it as uncharacterized. The record is from RefSeq and is a predicted model, not a curated record. The transcript is spliced from 2 exons. Lineage: Eukaryota; Metazoa; Arthropoda; Insecta; Diptera; Muscidae.
CACAGCUCUUUAUUCGCCGCAGGCUAACGCAUCUGAACGCGUCAACCGGUCCAUUAUUGCAAGUAUUCGGGCAUAUCUGAAGAAAGAUCAACGUCUAUGGGAUGAAUACUUGUCGUAUAUUAGUUGUUCCUUAAGGAAUUCUCUCCACCAAACCCUUAAAUGUUCCCCAUAUUUUGCCACAUUUGGAUUUAACAUGGUCACCCAUGGAGAUACCUACGCUCUCUUGAAAAACCUGCAAUUACUUGAUGAACCCCAGCUAAAUCUUUCUAAAGAAGAUCAGCUUCAACUUCUUCGGAAGGACCUUCGAAGUAGUAUUUCGGCCGCACAUGAAAAUAAUAAAGACCAUUACAAUUUACGCACUAGAUCCAUAAGUUAUACUGUUGGCCAAACUGUUUUCAGACGCAAUUUUGCACAAAGCAAUGCGGAAAAGAAAUUUAACGCUAAACUUGCUCCCAUUUUUCUACCAGCCAAAGUCCGGAAAAAAAAUUGGAAACGUUUAUUACGAAUUGGAGGACUUAAAUGGUAAUCUUAUCGGGACUUACCACGCCAAAGACAUAAGGUCAUAAUUAUUCUGAUUCCGAUUAAUAUCGUAAUUCAAAGAUCGAUAUUACUCGGUUUUGUGAGAAACUACGCUCCGACAAUAACUCACCUAGCCAAUGGUAUUAAAAUUGUGUGCUGGGAUACUACUGCUCAUUUGCCCUACAUUUUUUUGCGUUAUAUUUUGCAUCACUAUUUUGUUAUCUCUUAAUGGAAAAUGUAACAGGAAAUGUAACCAAUCUGCUAAUCCCAGUAUUGUGUCAAUCCGGCCACACAUGCAGUGUUAGCGCAGAGGAAGCGUGCUGGACUCCGGGGCGUAAGGACCUGUGAUCAAUUCCCGGUUAGAACAAACUAUUUUUAUUUUGUAAAACUAAAUAUUUUUUUUUUUACGAUAUUACGGUUUUGGAUAAGAGGCGGAGCUAUUAAUUCCGAGCUAUGUAGUAGUAACUAACGGUCCGUCUAAAGUAUAAAUUACGUGUGUAUUGUCAAUUAAAUUCGCCGUAAUAUUGCAUGUUGGUGGUGAAAAUCAAAUACCACGAAUUUGGCACUCUCCUCAGUUGUAACAAAUCGACAAUCAUUCUUUUGCUUCCUCGUUCUGAUAGUGUGAACAACAAUUAAGCGAAGAGAAAAAAAAAACCAACUCAUUUUUGCUUGUUUUAAACUUAACAAAAAGUGCAUAUAAAUCCGUAAAUAUCAAAGAAAUCCGGAAACUUUAUGUAAAAUUGGUUCCACAAUUUGCUUGGAAAACACAACUAAACUGUAUUUCAAGGUAUUUUUUAAGCGCUACAAAUAAGCAGGAUUGAAAAAACUAACAAAAAGUUAUUUAAAAGGUUUCUCCAAAAAAAAAAGACCUCUGAUUUUUUUUUCGAAGUCCAUCGACUUCACUAAACCAAAAGAGUAAUAAAUUAAAAACAAGAUUUUCCACAAUUGUCCUUAUCCAGUUAACAAGAUUUACCGCCAGUUGGAACAUCAUUUUCACCUUUUUUGCUUUGGACAAUUUUUUCUACUAUCUUAAUUACUACCGACGGCAAAACCGUUUUUUCCUUGGAAAUCUAUCAACAGUUGGAAAUUGUGUAAAACCGGCCAUUGUGUAAGGCUACAUGCCUUCAGCCAAGCUUUACGACCUCACAUAGACAAAUCCGAUUUCUUAAAAUAACUUCUCAACCGAGUGACGGAGUGUUCCGAUGAUUGAACCAAGGUCGUGGCUGUAAAUACACAAAACCUAUUUAUAAAACACCGUGUCCAAACACCGGCGGUAGCCCAGGGCGUAGGAAGCUGGCUUUGUUCGCCGUCUAGAAACCAGUAACGUGGGUUCGAAUCCCACCUCCGGCAGUAUUACAAUUUGUAUUUAUAAAAUUUGUGAAAUCAAGUCAGAUAAGUUCUUUUAAAUUAUUAUAUCAUAAUUUCUAUGAAUUUCUCCUGAACAUAUGCAAUACAUUUCAAAUGAUUAACUAUUACUACUUCUAAUCCUACAGAGAAAAUAAGCAUUAUCCUUCCUUCACACAACAACACAUACAAAGAUGUUCUACGAGGCCUCGUCGAUCACACCAAUGUAAUGUAUGUAGCUGUCCAGAUCUUUAAGAAAACACAAAAACAAGAGAAAAACUCAAAAAAAUAAGAAA